Molecule: long non-coding RNA, 5251 nt
Organism: Bombus terrestris (buff-tailed bumblebee)
Lineage: Eukaryota; Metazoa; Arthropoda; Insecta; Hymenoptera; Apidae
Exons: 7
Source: RefSeq, a predicted model, not a curated record
GGGUAUGGAAGAAAGUGCAGAGACGCGUGCAAGUGUAUAUCGAUGAAUAUUCUAGAAAUCGUUCAUAAAAUAAAUAUGUGUCUACGUUAAUAGUAAUACCCAGUGUAAAUUUAAUGUUUCCAUAACAAUAUUUCGGCCAUCAAGAUCCACAAUUCUCAACAAUAACCUUCGACCAACAAGUACUUUGGCAUUAAAAUUUCAAAAAGUUCAAAAAGCCGAGUCAAUCGCAUUGGCCCGUGAGCGGUUCAAACAAUUCGUAACACGCCUGUGUAACAGCCAUACUUUACAUUUCUAUGCCUUUUUUAUCUUCACGAACGUAACUGAAGAAGCGGAAUCAAAAUAGAAAUUUGUUUCAUCUACCAGAUAUUAUUGUAGUAUCGUGGACGAAAGGCCUAAGAGAUACCGGGCGAACCAUAAACAAUGUCGCGAGAAAGCCUAAGUGCCGACAGGCCUAUCAAUGUAUCGUCGGUCCUUCAAUCGAAUAGUUGCGCGGAAAAAAAGUCUACGUGACUCUGGCCACGAACGGUUGCGGAACACGUAUGUGGUGGGGCUAAGAAAAAAGACAAGGGGUUGCUAAGGGACAAAAACGAAUUAACAGUCAGUGUUGAGAAGUCAGAGAGUGCGAAUUGCGUUGACGAGAGAGUGUGGUCCGCGUGAGAGAGAGCGUUGGAAUGGAGCUUCGCUUAUUCCAACAUGUUAAAUUGUGAAGUAACUGAUAGACGUGUACAAUAAAACUUGUCAUGUGAUAUUUUCGUCGAUAUCCAUGACCAAUCGUUACCAAUAUCUAUCAUCGAUUAUUACCAAGGAAGGGAAGGAAAAAGAGAGGAAACCUUUACAGAGGGAUGAGGCAAAUUGCCAUAACAUAUAAGCAGGAGUGGGUGCGGUGGAACGACAGAAUGUAAAUCUCACGAGGCCAUUCAUAAUGGAGAUCCAUUCAGCGAUGGCUGGCCUUAGCAGCCGGUACUAAGGAACAAACUGCGAUUUAAAUUGGACCAGCCUCCUUUGACUCGACUUGCAGCCAUUUAUCGGCUCGGAACUCGCCUUUCCACGUUUACCUUCGAGUGCCUACGCCUUUUUCCUCCCCUUCUGUGUUCGCCGUUUGUCUUCCUUUUGGAAAUCGUAUUAAUCGGCCGGAAGUGAAUUAAGCCAUCCAUGUUUCGCGUACAGCAAAUUCGAUCGCUGUGAGAUCAUGAAGCGCCGUGGCGCGUCGCGUUGUGUCGUACGACAACGAGGAUUUCGUUAUUAAUUUAACCCAAGGCUUUUCUUUCUUAGUAUUCUUAGUAUUCUGUCAAUCUGUGUGACGUAGAAUUUACGAAUCAUCUUAGUACCAAUGAUCUCUGGAAUUUGCGUGUAAAGCAAGUUAUGUAAUUAGUUUAUCAUAACAAGUUGUGAUAAAUUGGUAUAGUAAUUUUUGAGGUUAGUAGCGAAAACGAGAAAAAGACAAAUAAAUCAGCGAACAGAAAAAGGUGUGAAAAAAGAAUAUAUCCCGGUAAUGUCUCUCUUGUCUUGUGUGAUUUGAUUUUACCGCUUAAUAAAAUGCUUUUGGGAAUUAGUAAACGAUUAGAGAAUCGAUAAUUGUGUAAAAUACUCAAUAUCUGGUAUUUUUGUGUAUUUUAUACGAGUGUUUCCGAAAUCGUGGUACAAAAAGUGCGGUGGUGAUUCUACGUGUAAAAAUAAGCGAAAAAUAAGUUUGAAGUUGAAGUUGUAGAAAAUUGGUUGGUAUGUGCAGGCCGUGUCGUAAUGGACGCGUCACGAUCCAGCGAGCACCAAUUAAAAAAAAGAGCAGACUUAGUCUCGCGAUCGUCGAAGAGUUGGUUAUCAUGUGAAUUAAUGAAAUAGAAAAUUGCCUCUGGACGACGCGCACACAGCUACAAAAUCGGUGCAGGUGCGCCAGCCUGUCUUCCGUUCAAUUUCGAACAUCGACGUGAAAAAUUGGCGCGCGACCUUCUGCCUUGAUUACGUGCCACCCGGAUUCAACCUCUGGCCUCGUCGCGAGGCAAAAAUUCCUCACUUUCGUCGUCAGCCAUUCCUCGCGCGACCAUCCGAUUCAAACAUCGAUCAACGAUUCGAAUAUCGUGAAUUUGAACGCGAAAGCACAUUUCCCUUCAACGCGUAAACAAUGUGAAAUAUCGCCGCAGAAGGCGAAAAAAUCUCGAUGAAGAACCACGAUGAGAGAAGAGAAGGGAAGGAACAAUCGGCCUGAAAGAAUACUCGUUCGUCCCCAUUCACGGGAUCAUCGGCGAACAGCGUCAAAUUAAAUUGAUCCUCGACAGCAGGUCCACCUUCGUGCCCGGCAUCGAUCUACGUUUCCAUUGGCGUUCAUCUGUUUUAUUCGUCGAAUCAGCUUGCGUGAGCGCGUAGCUGAGGAGCGUAACCAGGAUGCACACGAUCGAUCGGCGGCACCAUUGUUUCGCUUUAGUGUCGGUAUCAAUCGCACGGAGCGUUCAUUACGACGGCAUUAACAGGCUUUUCAAAGGGAGAAAACGAUUUCCAGAAAUUGGAAAAAUGACGAAUAAAAAGCCUUCUUCGUUGAAAUGCUGGAUGAUACCUUUGAAAUCGGCGAAUACGAAAGAUCCGCGGUAUUUCAGAUCAGCGUAGUAGGACCCAUGCUCUUUUCGAUAUGCACAACGGAUCCUUCAGACGCCUUCAUUCAUCUGCAUCAUUCACCAGAUUACCUUCGUUGAUGAUCUCUUAUUAUCCAGUCUGCCACUGACCAGGAGUCGACCGAGAAGUUACAAGAAACGUGUUUGCUGCGGGGCCAUGAAAUUCGGCUUACGCCAAGUAGAGUCGUUUGAUAUCUUUUUAAAAAAUAUUUAUUUUAUAUCAUUUCUUUCAAUUGCGUGUUUAAGGUGAUGCUCAUCUUUGAAGAUUAUUAGUGUCACGUUAACGCUUUGAGUGCUGUGGGCGCAUAUAGGUGUCUGGCGAAAGCUAUCGGUGUGGACUAAGGACGUAUAUAUGCGUUUUCUCGAUUGUCAGCGCUAGACGCGCGCCGUCCGUACGGACCGCAUAGGCCGCGGGUAUUGAGCACUCAAAAGGUUAAGAAUGACCAGGGACAGAACGAAUCUGUAGCAAGUUGCAUAAACCAAUGUCUCUCAGAAGAUCUAGAGUCUCUUCCAUGGAGCCUUUCUUUUGUGGUAUGUUCAGAGUUUCAGACACGAAAUUAGCAUAUGUAAAACAGAGUUUCAGAGGGAAAUAAUACUCUGUAAGAAGGAGGUAGUCUAUCUGUGAAUAAGUUUGGACAAAGGACUCGCAUGGGAAACAGGAUGUACAUAGAACGAGGCAGUACGCUAGAUAAAUUCUGGAAAUUCUGCUGGCUCAUUAGAGGAACAUCGCGAUCGAAGCGUAAACCUAGUACGAAGUUGUGUUUGAGACACUAUGGACUUCCGGAAUCGUAUUGCAACGGUAGAAGCAGUUGAACGCCAGCUAACCAGGACCAGAGGAACACAAAGCGGUGGAAUAAGAAAAAUACAAAAAGAAAAAGAAGUAAAAGUGUAAGAAGAGAUGACACAGAAAAGGCCACUGAGCUUAGGUCAGUAGAGCAAGAAGCACGACGCAGCUGUCAUGUAAAAUUAAUGAUAAAAAAAGGAGUAGCUGAGCAAUAGCUUAACUAUUAAAGGCUGUGCCUUUAUAAUUUUGUGUUGAGGAGCAAGGAGAGGAUUCUGAUUGCCCUACGUAAUGGGGAAAAUGUAAUGUUGUACCAUGUGCGAAGGUCAGGUUAAAGCCUAAUGGUUCACUGUCAGGUAGUAUGGAAUGACGUGGAUUUGGGUAUGGUCGUUGUCACACCGCUAAAGUCGUCAACGGACAAUGCUUGAAAGACAUCCAAAACUGUCUCAGACUGUUUUCAGGAAUUCGAGGAGAAUUAAAAUGCAACAUCCUUCGAGCAACUAUCAUCCUGCUGCUCCGGUCUGCCAAAAACUGUGGGACGAGAUACCGUACGAAUAAUAAACAACGUGCAAGCUCACUCGAGAGCGCCAUAACGUCGAAUCUACAUAAAACAAGCGUAAAAGGGCUCUUGUAUCGCGGUUGGACACGAAACACACGGUAUAAUAAAGAAACGAAUCAGGAGAUUGCAGUGAGAACGAUAGAAAAAGGAGAAGAAGAGAAAGGAAGAGACACGAGAAGGAAGAAACGAAGAGGGAAAGGAUUCUGUUGCAGUUCAUAGCGAGUUAGGUGGCAAAGGUUUUAAGGCGAAGGCGAGAUGAAGAGACAGGGCGAGCAGUCGGCAGAUGAAAAUUUCGUUUCUUUCACCUACACACGCCGACGUCGAAGAAACGACCUCCGAUUGUAAAAACGAUGAAGCAAGACAUUAGCUUUAUGAACUGGAAGAAAAAACAAGGAAGAGAGAGAGAGAGAGACAGAGGAAGGAGAGUGGAAAGAAAGAGAGAGAAGACCGUGACCACGGAUCUGGACGUUCUCCAAAGCUACAGAAACUGUCGGUCGUGUUGCCGGUUGUUAGAGCCAUACAAAACCAAGAUUUUAAAGUCGACAACAAAGUGCCGCAAACUGGGACGCAACGAUUUCAGUCUCCGGGUUCGGUCGUUCGUUAUUAACGUUUUCAGGACUUUUCGCUGCAUUCGGUCCUUUAUUCCGUUCUCUUUGCCCUUUCUUCCCUCGCCGACUUUAUCCUCCUUCUUAUCGCUGUCUCUUUGUCUCCCGCGUCGGAUGUGUAUUUUACUGCACGUAAAAACGGAACUUGUAACGCAUUCAGCGUAUCUGAUACAUGCAACACGCGUAACUUCUUUUUAUGUUUCAUAUUCGCCACUUUUAUUUCUUUCCUUUCUUUUCUUCUUCGGGAGUUGGGAGGGAGAGAGGGAGGGGAGUGUUUUAGACAGUUUCGUUCCUACUCGGUGAAAAUUCUUCAAUGCCGCUGCUUCCAGCGAGAGGUCAAUGUUCUGUCGUUUAUCAACCAGCAGAUUUGUACAAAAUUGGGAUACGCAGCUGUCAGACGCGUUUAAAACACGCUGCGCGCAUUCCAUUGGUAGAAUUCGCUAUUAAUAUCUCGUUUUAUCAGCGUAUCUCAUAACGUUUAAAUGUUAAUCAAGUUGAUCCGACGUGUUCUCGGUUACUCAGUGUCCACUGUUGAAACGCGAAAUUCAUUAAAUUUUAAGGAGAUAUUCGGACUACGUAAUGGGAAUACUUCGGAGAUACUUGGAGGGUAAUUUAACACUAGAACUACCACACCAGUCAAAUUGACUGGUUUUACAAUUUUAUUUUAAAAUUCCUACUUCAUGUUAUAUUCUUUCCCGCAAUG